This 111-nucleotide ribosomal RNA is filed under the name Microcystis aeruginosa CCIBt3454. Its description in RNAcentral is "partial 23S ribosomal RNA". Lineage: Bacteria; Bacillati; Cyanobacteriota; Cyanophyceae; Chroococcales; Microcystaceae. The record is from RNAcentral.
GUCCAGAGGAACCUUGAAAACUGCAUAGAGCUAGGUGAAAAAGCCAAAAAAGAAGACCGCAAGGUCAAGCUAAUAAGGGCUAACGGUGGAUACCUAGGCACACAGAGGCGA